Molecule: ribosomal RNA, 440 nt
Filed under: uncultured bacterium
Lineage: Bacteria
Description: partial 16S ribosomal RNA
Rfam family: Bacterial small subunit ribosomal RNA
Source: RNAcentral
CCUACGGGAGGCAGCAGUGGGGAAUAUUGGACAAUGGGGGGAACCCUGAUCCAGCGACGCCGCGUGAGUGAAGAAGUAUUUCGGUAUGUAAAGCUCUAUCAGCAGGGAAGUAAAUGACGGUACCUGACUAAGAAGCCCUGGCACACUACGUGCCAGCAGCCGCGGUAAUACGUAGGGGGCAAGCGUUAUCCGGAUUUACUGGGUGUAAAGGGAGCGUAGACGGUGCAGCAAGUCUGAUGGGAAAGGUCGGGGCCCAACCCCGGGAAUGCAUUGGAGACUGUUGAACUGGGGUACAGGAGAGGUAAGCGGAAUUCCUAGGGUAGCGGUGGAAUGCGUAGAUAUUAGGAGGAACACCAGUGGCGAAGGCGGCUUACUGGACUGUAACUGACGUUGAGGCUCGAAGGCGUGGGGAGCGAACAGGAUUAGAUACCCUUGUAGUC